RNAcentral lists this long non-coding RNA (422 nucleotides) under Ananas comosus (pineapple). Its description in RNAcentral is "long non-coding RNA (ACOM_LNC017593)". Lineage: Eukaryota; Viridiplantae; Streptophyta; Magnoliopsida; Poales; Bromeliaceae. The record is from RNAcentral.
UUCGUAUUUAUAAAAGUAUAUGUGAUUCGAUAAAAUAGUAUAUUUUAACUCAAGGUUUUAAGUGCUCGUCGGCACGGGGUGUAUCCACCGUGCCGUACCGUACCAACAAGAUACCGGCACGAUACAAACCCUGUGCCGAUGGCACAGCUCAAAACUCUCUAUUCUUUAAAUUAGUAAGUAAUUUUCUAAAUAAAGUUCAAAAGAUGUGAUAAAAAGACCUAAUAAAUAGUUAGAAUAUUUUGUUGCUAAAAAAAAUAAAUAUUUCAUGUUAUUAUGUGUCAGCACACAAAAAUUUUUUUGACCGGCACGCAUCGACACAGCUCGACACGCACCGUGCCAUACCAUGCCGACAAGUUUCCGGCGCGACCCCUUGCCACGGCACUUAAAUCCUUGUUUUAACUACUAUGUCACCAAAAUCAAAC